This is a non-coding RNA of Gossypium raimondii (Peruvian cotton), 165 nucleotides long. The record is from Rfam. Lineage: Eukaryota; Viridiplantae; Streptophyta; Magnoliopsida; Malvales; Malvaceae.
GUGUUUGCAGAUGCGGCAUUAUCAAGAUUCACAAACUUAGUACAGGGUUUCAUUGGAGAGCCAAAGGGUGUGGUUUAGUGGUACCCCUCCACAAAAUCACCUCCUUUUACUUCAAAGUUUUCCUUUCAAAUAUGGGAAUCUUGAUGAUGCUGCAUCAGCAAACAU